Molecule: non-coding RNA, 396 nt
Organism: Dipodomys ordii (Ord's kangaroo rat)
Lineage: Eukaryota; Metazoa; Chordata; Mammalia; Rodentia; Heteromyidae
Source: the annotation of a RefSeq genome assembly
AGGAGUCAGUCACAGUCAGCACAUACUACGGACAUGAAGGCCCCUGCUCAGCUCCUGGGGCUCCUGCUGCUCUGGCUCCCAGGUGCCAGAUGUGACAUCCAGAUGACCCAGUCUCCAUCACUAUCUGCAUCUCUAGGAGACAGAGUCACCAUCACUUGCAGGGCAAGUCAGGGCAUUAGCAACUAUUUACAUUGGUAUCAACAGAAACCAGGGAAAGCCCUUCAGUUCCUCAUCUAUAGAGCAACAACUUUGCAACCUGGAGUUCCAUCCAGGUUCAGUGGCAGUGGAUCUGGGACAGAGUUUACUCUCACCAUCAGCAGCCUGCAGCCUGAAGAUGUUGCCACUUAUUACUGUCAACAAGGUUACCGUGAUCCUCCCACAGUGAUACAAUCGUAG